CAAGGCAGAGGGGGGACACGAGGAGAGUUGCGCUCCUCAAGUCACGGCAGCAGGCCCUCACUUGACUUCAAUUCUGCGCAGAAGAGCAGAAGUCUGCGGCCCCUCCGUUCCUCCAGCUCCAGUCCCAGUCCCAGUCCCAGACCAUGCCUUGCGCCGCCACCGAGCUCGUCCAUGGCGAGGGAGGCACGGUCAAGGUAGGCACAACGGGCACCAUCGGCUCGCUCAUGACAAGGGAGCUGGACUCCACCACUCCCCGGAAGCUCAUGCUGAGGAAGAGCUCGUCCGACGUCUCCAGCAGCAGCAGCAGCAACAGAACCGGCCGCGUGGGCACCGAAGAGGCGUGCAAGCCGAGGAGGGCCUCGCGGACGAACACCUUCGACUCACCGAUGCUGCGGCCCGACGGCGGCGCGCUGGUGGACCGGGCCCCGAGCGCCGGCAGGGCGAAGAAGAAGGGGACGAGCGUGGGCGUGCACGGCGGCGGGGUCCAGGUGGUGGACGUCAAGUGCGGCAACCCGAUGAGCAUGAGCAGCCGGCUCAGGAAGCUCGGCUUCUCCAAGCUGUCGCAGACGUUUGCGUAGCUUCAAUUCUGUGCAGUGGAGCAUGGCGAGGGGCCGAGGGCAAAGGACCAGCGCCAGCAUCGGAAUUGAAGGGUCUGCUUGCUGCUGCCCUUUCCUUGAGGGCGUCUUCGGCUUUGGAGGACAUCUGCCAUGUGCUGGAUUUAGUGCAGCAAUCAUUCACUAACAGUGUGAGUGUCCAUUCGGUCCGGCCUUGUGGGCUGCCACUGCCAUCCAGUUCGCAUCUAGCUGUAGUCGCUUUUUCUAGCUGUUUUUUUCUCCACUAUGUGGAAACUGCUGUUGCGCUCUGUGUAUGGAUGAUGUGUUCAACUGUAGGUGCAAGAGCACCUUGAUUAGAUCUUCUAUUUUUUUUCUGCUUUAUAAUAUAUAAACAGUUAUAGGAGGGCAACAACUAAUGUGUAAGCAGUACUUAAAUGGAGC
Molecule: unclassified non-coding RNA, 995 nt
Filed under: Zea mays
Lineage: Eukaryota; Viridiplantae; Streptophyta; Magnoliopsida; Poales; Poaceae
Description: misc RNA Zm00001eb106110
Source: RNAcentral